GGCUAACUCGGUGGCAGCAGCAGCGGUAAAGCAGAGGGUGGAAGGGUUAAUCGGAAUGACUGGGCGUAAAGGGCGCGUAGGUGGUUCAGUAAGAUGGGGGGGAAAGCCCCGGGCUUAACCUGGGAACUGCUUUCAUAACUGCUGAGCUAGAGUACGGUAGAGGGUAGUGGAAUUUCCUGUGUAGCGGUGAAAUGCGUAGAUAUAGGAAGGAACACCAGUGGCGAAGGCGACUACCUGGACUGAUACUGACACUGAGGUGCGAAAGCGUGGGGAGCAAACAGGAUAGAUACCCUAGUAGUC
RNAcentral lists this ribosomal RNA (300 nucleotides) under uncultured Pyrobaculum sp. RNAcentral's name for it is "bacterial SSU rRNA". It matches the Rfam family "Bacterial small subunit ribosomal RNA", at positions 495 to 795 of the family's 1533-position model. Lineage: Archaea; Thermoproteati; Thermoproteota; Thermoprotei; Thermoproteales; Thermoproteaceae. The record is from RNAcentral.